Molecule: long non-coding RNA, 426 nt
Organism: Hermetia illucens (black soldier fly)
Lineage: Eukaryota; Metazoa; Arthropoda; Insecta; Diptera; Stratiomyidae
Exons: 3
Source: RefSeq, a predicted model, not a curated record
UUAGCUGCAUAUACAACUUACACUUUUUGUGGCAUAAAUUCGACCAAGACAUAUUCGGCUUGUUUUUUUCCAAUUUUUGGAAAGGGUUUUCGUCUACUGUCGUAUAAUUGAACAAUAACCAAAUGCGUUUUAUGUUUCGGAUAAAUGUGUGUUUGACCGUUGACCAAUAACGAAAGUGUGUUUUCUAGCAACAUAGACGAACAGCCUACCACCAGUUCUGUUGGUAUCAUCUUGUAAUACCUGAGAGCCCUCCGUAGCCACAAAGGAUAAAUAAACAAUUCGGGAAACCGGAAACCGGGCGCUUCAGAGCAAUAUGAAAAUUGUGGAAAAAUACCGGAUUUUUUUCCUACUUUGAUAACUUUUUCUCGAGUGGAGGGUGGAAGAUUGAUAUCGGAGAAGCUUGUGAACCUCAGAUCAACAUGUGUU